Molecule: small nucleolar RNA, 140 nt
Organism: Apodemus sylvaticus (European woodmouse)
Lineage: Eukaryota; Metazoa; Chordata; Mammalia; Rodentia; Muridae
Product: small nucleolar RNA SNORA48
Exons: 1
Source: RefSeq, a predicted model, not a curated record
AUCCUCUGGUAAUGGGCAAAGAGACACCUUGUUGGUGGUGGUGUUCUUAUAUCAGUCAGGGGCAGAGCAGAUGGCAGUCAUUUCUUCAUCCAGGCUUGAUGCCUGGCUUGAUGGCCAAAGCUCAUACCCGGGGCUCAUAA